Molecule: ribosomal RNA, 253 nt
Filed under: uncultured bacterium
Lineage: Bacteria
Description: partial 16S ribosomal RNA
Rfam family: Bacterial small subunit ribosomal RNA
Source: RNAcentral
UACGUAGGCAGCGAGCGUUGUUCGGAAUUACUGGGCGUAAAGAGUGCGUAGGCGGUGCUCUAAGUCUGUUGUGAAAUCUCCCGGCUCAACUGGGAGGGUGCGGCGGAAACUAGAGUGCUAGAGUGUGGGAGAGGUAAGCGGAAUUCCUGGUGUAGCGGUGAAAUUCGUAGAUAUUGGGAAGAACACCGGUGGCGAAGGCGGCUAUCUGGACCACAACUGACGCUGAGGCGCGAAAGCGUGGGGAGCAAACAGG